CCUCGGGGCCCAACCUCCCACCCGUGUAUACCGUACCUUGUUGCUUCGGCGGGCCCGCCGCGCAAGCGGCCGCCGGGGGGGCGUCAAACCCCCCUCCCUAGGCGAGCGCCCGCCGGAGACACCAACGUGAACACUGUCUGAAGUUUUGUUGUCUGAGUUCGAUUGUAUCGCAAUCAGUUAAAACUUUCAACAAUGGAUCUCUUGGUUCCGGCAUCGAUGAAGAACGCAGCGAAAUGCGAUAAUUAAUGUGAAUUGCAGAAUUCAGUGAAUCAUCGAGUCUUUGAACGCACAUUGCACCCCCUGGUAUUCCGGGGGGUAUGCCUGUCCGAGCGUCAUUGCUGCCCUCAAGCACGGCUUGUGUGUUGGGUCGUCGUCCCCCCCGGGGACGGGCCCGAAAGGCAGCGGCGGCACCGCGUCCGGUCCUCGAGCGUAUGGGGCUUUGUCACCCGCUCUUGUAGGCCCGGCCGGCGCUGGCCGACGCUGAAAAGCAACCAACUAUUUCUCCAGGUUGACCUCGGAUCAGGUAGGGAUACCCGCUGAACUUAAGCAUAUCAAAAGCCCGGAGGAA
RNAcentral lists this ribosomal RNA (568 nucleotides) under Aspergillus sclerotiorum. RNAcentral describes it as "eukaryotic LSU rRNA". The stretch from base 182 to 335 matches the Rfam family "5.8S ribosomal RNA". Lineage: Eukaryota; Fungi; Ascomycota; Eurotiomycetes; Eurotiales; Aspergillaceae. The record is from RNAcentral.